CAGUAGCCACGGGAAUACGUAGGGUGCAAGCGUUGUCCGGAAUCAUUGGGCGUAAAGCGCGCGUAGGUGGCCACUUAAGUCCGCUGUGAAAGUCAAAGGCUCAACCUUUGAAAGCCGGUGGAUACUGGAUGGCUAGAGUACGGAAGAGGCGAGUGGAAUUCCUGGUGUAGCGGUGGAAUGCGCAGAUAUCAGGAGGAACACCAAUAGCGAAGGCAGCUCGCUGGGACGUUACUGACACUAAGGCGCGAAAGCGUGGGGAGCGAACAGGAUUAGAUACCCCUGUAGUCCCUGUCUCUUAUAC
This 301-nucleotide ribosomal RNA is filed under the name uncultured bacterium. RNAcentral describes it as "partial 16S ribosomal RNA". It matches the Rfam family "Bacterial small subunit ribosomal RNA", at positions 509 to 807 of the family's 1533-position model. The record is from RNAcentral.